RNAcentral lists this ribosomal RNA (467 nucleotides) under uncultured bacterium. Its description in RNAcentral is "partial 16S ribosomal RNA". It matches the Rfam family "Bacterial small subunit ribosomal RNA", at positions 28 to 507 of the family's 1533-position model. The record is from RNAcentral.
GUCGAACGCUGGCGGCAUGCUUUACACAUGCAAGUCGAACGGCAACGCCCUGCCUUUGUGGGGUGCUCGAGUGGCGAACGGGUGAGUAAUACGUCAGUACCCUGCCCUUGACGUGGGGAUACCUUCAGGAAGCUGGGGCUAAUCCCGGUACGGAGCACCGGCUGAAUGGUGGGGGUUGGAAAGCUCCGGCGGUUGGGGUUGGAGUCGCGGCUUAUCAGCUUGUUGGGGGGGAAGUGGCUUCCAAGGCACUGACGGGUAGUCGUCCUGGGAGGGUGACCGGCCACAUUGGGACUGAGGUACGGCCCAGACUCCUACGGGAGGCAGCAGUGGGGAAUAUUGCACAAUGGGCGGAAGCCUGAUGCAGCAGCGCCGCGUGCGGGAUGACGGCCUUCGGGUUGUAAACCGCUUGCGCCUGUGACGAAGCGUGAGUGACGGUAAUGGGUAAAGAAGCACCGGCUAACUACGUG